This 445-nucleotide ribosomal RNA is filed under the name Cancer borealis (Jonah crab). RNAcentral's name for it is "partial large subunit ribosomal RNA". It matches the Rfam family "Bacterial large subunit ribosomal RNA", at positions 1956 to 2597 of the family's 2925-position model. The record is from RNAcentral. Lineage: Eukaryota; Metazoa; Arthropoda; Malacostraca; Decapoda; Cancridae.
GUAGCAUAAUCAUUAGUUUCUUAAUUAGGAACUCGUAUGAAUGGUUGAACAAAAGAAGAGCUGUCUCUAACAUAAAAAUAGAAUUUAACUUUUAAGUGAAAAGGCUUAAAUUAUUCAAGGGGACGAUAAGACCCUAUAAAGCUUUAUAUUUUAACUAUAAUUUAAUUAAAAUAACAGGCUAAAGGUUUUAAUAAGUUAUUAUAUUUUAUUGGGGAGGUAUAAGUAUAAUUUAUAUAACUGCUUAUAAGUUAAUACACUAAUAAUUGAUUGAGGUUUUGAGGAUCCUUUAUAAUAAAGAUUCAAGGCUAAGUUACUUUAGGGAUAACAGCGUUAUUUUUUUUGAGAGUUCCUAUCGAAAAGAAAGUUUGCGACCUCGAUGUUGAAUUAAAAUUAUCUUUAUAGUGCAGCCGCUAUAGAAGAGGGUCUGUUCGACCUUUAAAUUUUU